UUGAGCACUUCGAGCACUGACUUUCAGUGUUCGAAGUGCGCCACUGAAAAAACCAGCAGAAUUCAGUGCACUGAAAGUACCCGGAUGGUGCACUGCAAACGGGCAAAAAAUGUAGUGUAAAACGAUGGACACUACUCGCCCUAAACGGCCGCCAUCUUGGCGACGUAGCGGAAGAGGAGGAGCCCUUUCACCAGCUUUUCAUUUUAUUUCUAAAACAAUGGCGGACAGCACAAGCGGUAGACCACGAAGCUACAGACCGUAAAUAGACGUUUCCUGGAGGUGCUGGUGCUGGUCCUCUGCUGCCCUCCCGACAUCUGGCUCCAAUGACCUCUGGCACCUCACAUCCACCUCCAGGGCCUUUAAGAAGAUGGACCGCCAUCGCGUCUUCAGUAUCCCGAAGGACCUCUCCACAACACACCUCGCCUUUGACAGGCAGCAGUUGUAGCGUGCUUGGAGGUGGUUGUGGACAGGCUGCCUGAAGGGGGUCAUGAGGCAGAUGGGUUGGGACAGGCAGGGGUAGCCACCAUCCCCAAGGAUACAGUAUCCUGGUGGAGGGUAUGACUGCUCAUAGAAGAUGGGGCUGUUAUUCAGGACCCUGGCAUCAUGCACUGAGCCCGGGGCCUGUCGAAGGCCCUGGCCACCACCCGAUAGGAGGUGGCGCUGGCAAGCCAAAAAAUAAAAACUAGACGGGAGAUCUCGGGGCCCCAACCGUGGUCAGUCAGUGCCCAGCACAGCCAUGAGGGCGUUAAAUGACUCUCGGGUGAGCCUGAAGUCCACCCUCCUGUCACUGUGGCCAUCACAAUACAACGCCAGCAGUGGCAUUGCAACAUUGAUACGGCAGCGCCGCCUGGGACUGGGUGGCUGCUGUAGAGUGUGUGGGGAGGGGAGGGGAAGGGAAGAUUAUACUAAAAUGUAAGUCAUUUUAUCAAUAAAAUGUUGUCAUUGA
Molecule: long non-coding RNA, 946 nt
Organism: Pseudoliparis swirei
Lineage: Eukaryota; Metazoa; Chordata; Actinopteri; Perciformes; Liparidae
Exons: 2
Source: RefSeq, a predicted model, not a curated record